GACGAACGCUGGCGGCGUGCCUAAUACAUGCCAGUUGAGCGAUGAAGAUUGGUGCUUGCACCAAUUUGAAGAGCAGCGAACGGGUGAGUAACGCGUGGGGAAUCUGCCUUUGAGCGGGGGACAACAUUUGGAAACGAAUGCUAAUACCGCAUAACAACUUUAAACAUAAGUUUUAAGUUUGAAAGAUGCAAUUGCAUCACUCAAAGAUGAUCCCGCGUUGUAUUAGCUAGUUGGUGAGGUAAAGGCUCACCAAGGCGAUGAUACAUAGCCGACCUGAGAGGGUGAUCGGCCACAUUGGGACUGAGACACGGCCCAAACUCCUACGGGAGGCAGCAGUAGGGAAUCUUCGGCAAUGGACGAAAGUCUGGCCGAGCAACGCCGCGUGAGUGAAGAAGGGUUUCGGAUCGUAAAACUCUGUUGGUAGAGAAGAACGUUGGUGAGAGUGGAAAGCUCAUCAAGUGACGGUAACUACCCAGAAAGGGACGGCUAACUACGUG
RNAcentral lists this ribosomal RNA (497 nucleotides) under uncultured bacterium. Its description in RNAcentral is "partial 16S ribosomal RNA". It matches the Rfam family "Bacterial small subunit ribosomal RNA", at positions 28 to 507 of the family's 1533-position model. The record is from RNAcentral.